UCCGGUUUGGCACCGGCAGUCUCCCUAGAGUUCCCGGCAUCACCCGCUGGCAACUAAGGACAGGGGUUGCGCUCGUUGCGCCACUUAAGGCAACACCUCACGGCACGAGCUGACGACAGCCAUGCACCACCUGUGCAGGCUCCGAAGAGCACCCGCUUUCACGGGUUUCACCCUGCAUGUCAAGCCCAGGUAAGGUGGGGAUGACGUUACGGUCUUACU
RNAcentral lists this unclassified non-coding RNA (219 nucleotides) under uncultured Actinomycetes bacterium. RNAcentral describes it as "uncultured actinobacterium contains 16S-23S intergenic spacer region". The record is from RNAcentral. Lineage: Bacteria; Bacillati; Actinomycetota; Actinomycetes.